RNAcentral lists this ribosomal RNA (447 nucleotides) under uncultured bacterium. Its description in RNAcentral is "bacterial SSU rRNA". It matches the Rfam family "Bacterial small subunit ribosomal RNA", at positions 328 to 792 of the family's 1533-position model. The record is from RNAcentral.
CUACCAGACUCCUACGGGAGGCAGCAGUGGGGAAUAUUGCACAAUGGGGGAAACCCUGAUGCAGCGACGCCGCGUGGGCGAUGAAGUAUUUCGGUAUGUAAAGCUCUAUCAGCAGGGAAGAAGAUGACGGUACCUGACUAAGAAGCCCCGGCUAACUACGUGCCAGCAGCCGCGGUAAUACGUAGGGGGCGAGCGUUAUCCGGAUUCACUGGGUGUAAAGGGAGCGUAGACGGCCAUGCAAGCCAGGGGUGAAAGCCCGGGGCCCAACCCCGGGACUGCCCUUGGAACUGUGCGGCUAGAGUGCGGGAGGGGCAGGCGGAAUUCCUGGUGUAGCGGUGAAAUGCGUAGAUAUCUGGAGGAACAUCAGUGGCGAAGGCGACUAUCUGGCACAUAACUGACGCUGAGGAGCGAAAGCGUGGGUAGCAAACAGGAUUAGAUACCCCUGUA